This is a small nuclear RNA of Cricetulus griseus (Chinese hamster), 102 nucleotides long. NCBI's taxonomy places the organism in Eukaryota, Metazoa, Chordata, Mammalia, Rodentia, Cricetidae. The record is from Ensembl.
GUACUCACUUCAACAGCACAUGCACUAAAACUGGAACCACACAGAGAUUAGCAUGGUCCCUACAAGGAUGACACAUACAUUCAUGAAGUGUUCCACAAUUAA